AGUGAACGCUGGCGGUAGGCCUAACACAUGCAAGUCGAACGGCAGCACAGUAAGAGCUUGCUCUUACGGGUGGCGAGUGGCGGACGGGUGAGGAAUACAUCGGAAUCUACUUUUUCGUGGGUGAUAACGUAGGGAAACUUACGCUAAUACCGCAUACGACCUACGGGUGAAAGCAGGGGAUCUUCGGACCUUGCGCGAUUGAAUGAGCCGAUGUCGGAUUAGCUAGUUGGCGGGGUAAAGGCCCACCAAGGCGACCAUCCGUAGCUGGUCUGAGAGGAUGAUCAGCCACACUGGAACUGAGACACGGUCCAGACUCCUACGGGAGGCAGCAGUGGGGAAUAUUGGACAAUGGGCGCAAGCCUGAUCCAGCCAUACCGCGUGGGUGAAGAAGGCCUUCGGGUUGUAAAGCCCUUUUGUUGGGAAAGAAAAGCAGCAGGUUAAUACCCCGCUGUUCUGACGGUACCCAAAGAAUAAGCACCGGCUAACUUCGUG
Molecule: ribosomal RNA, 492 nt
Filed under: uncultured bacterium
Lineage: Bacteria
Description: partial 16S ribosomal RNA
Rfam family: Bacterial small subunit ribosomal RNA
Source: RNAcentral